UGAGUAAUACCUAGGAAACUGCCUAAACGAGGGGAUAACAUUUGGAAACGAACGCUAAUACCGCAUACGCCGGAAACGGGAAAGAUUUAUCGGGUGAUGGAUGUGCCCGCGUUGGAUUAGCUUGUUGGUGGGGUAACGGCCUACCAAGGCGAUGAUCCAUAGCUGGUCUGAGAGGACGAUCAGCCACGCUGGAACUGAGACACGGUCCAGACUCCUACGGGAGGCAGCAGCUAAGAAUAUUGGGCAAUGGAGGAAACUCUGACCCAGCCAUGCCGCGUGAAUGAAGAAGGCCUUCGGGUUGUAAAGUUCUUUUAGUAGUGAAGAUGAUGACAGUAGCUACAGAAAAAGACACCGGCUAACUUCGUG
RNAcentral lists this ribosomal RNA (366 nucleotides) under uncultured bacterium. RNAcentral describes it as "bacterial SSU rRNA". It matches the Rfam family "Bacterial small subunit ribosomal RNA", at positions 107 to 507 of the family's 1533-position model. The record is from RNAcentral.